UAAAUAAUAAUAAAGAAUAUUCAAAAAAUACAAAUCAACCCGUUAAUGUUAAUGUUAAUAACUAUAAUAAAAAUAAUAACUAUAAUAAAAAUUUGUUAACAAAAUAUGAACAUAUAGAAAACUGGAAUUUGUUUAUUUACCCAAGAGGCUGUGAGUUACUUAGUUAUAUAUACAAAUAUUGUUAUUUAUUUAUUAAUAUUAAUAACAAAAAUUUAACAAAACUAUGUAAAUAUAUUUUUUUCAAAUUAAUUAAACCAUUUUUAAAUUUUUUAUAUUUUUAUGUUUACAUGGCUAUAAAUAAAGACUACUAUUUUGAAUACAUAAUUAAUAAAAAUGUAAAAAACCAGUUUUUUUUUAUUUUACAAAAUCAUACAAAAUAUUAUGACAAGCAAUAUUUAACGAUCGAUACGGCUAUCUCUAUUCCCAUUUUUUUGAAGUAUUCGAUUGAGAUUAUACAAAAUACAGCCAUUUUGUCCCAUAUUCUAAAACAAUCCAAUGAAGAAGAUUUUUAUUUAGCCAUGCCACAAGUGUACACACUUAAACACAGAUCUGAUAAAAAAAAAAAUUUCAAAAAGGUUUUACCAACAAGUAUACACACAAAUGAAGAUAUAAAAAAACAAAUUAUCGAAUUGUCAAAAGUAUUAUGUACAGCAUCAGUUGAUAAACUUUUAAAUUUUUUAAACUUUUAUACCAACCGUUAUUAUAAAAAAAUCCCUCAAAAAAAAAAAAACGUUCGAAAUACAUUAAUCGAGUUUUGGAAUUAUGAAACUCAUUCUAAUUUUAUAUAUAAAAAAAAAAAAAAAAAUGUUAUAAACAAAUUACAAUUUUAUUUUUCUUUUUUUUAUUAUAUUUUAAAUAAUUAUUCUAUUAAUAAUAUAUAUGAUUAUAAAAAUCAAAUACAAAAUUUUAAAACAAAUAAUUUUUUAUGUUAUAUUAAUAAUCAAAGAGGGGAUGUAAGAACAAAUCAAGUUGUAGAGUCGUGUAAAGCUGCAACAGAUAAUAUGCACCGUUUUGGAAAAUGUAAAAAUUUAAGAACUAUUAAUAAAAAAAAAAAUGAACAUAUGAAAAAAAGGAGAAUAAUGAAAAAGUAUACAGAUAAAAGAAGCGACAGUGUUUGUCAUGAAUGGAGGGACAAUAUAAAUGCAAAUCCUCAUAACAAUAACAAUACUGACAUAAUGACAAAACAUAAUCAGUUAUUACCUAAUCAUUUAAAUAAAAAUCUUAAAAAAAUAUAUAUUGCUUACUUAGAAAAUAGAAAAAACAAACAUAAUAAUAAUUUUGAAAUGUUUUUAAAAAAAAAAAAAAAAAAAAACUUUGAUGAAAAAAAUAAUAGUAAUAUAAAUUCCAUUGAACAGUUUAGUUUUUCAGACAAUAGUACAAUAAGUAUUUAUUCAGAUGAACUAAGUUAUAAUGAUUCGUGUGAAGAGCAUUCCGAUGAUGUUUUUCCUAGUACGGAGAUAUCAUCUCUGACGGAUAAUACUGUUACAGAUAAUACUGUUACAGAUAGUGCUGUUACUGAUAGUGCUGUUACUGAUGGUUCUGUUACGGAUAAUGUUAUUACGGACAAUUGUAGUAACACAAUUUUGAAUAGUCAUAACAUUAAAAACCAGUACAUUCCAAAAUAUGAUGUUUCUCUCAUACAAAAAACAAAAGAACAAACGGAUAAGGAAAAAAAAAAUUUAUUUAAUUUUUCUGAUUAUACAAACUUUGGUUGUUUAUAUUAUAAUCCUGAGCGAGAAUAUUCGUUAAAAUUUGACCUAAAUUUUGACCCAAAUUUUGGUUUAAAUUGUGAUAAAGAUUAUGAAAACAUUCCACGUUUAAAAAAUAUGAUGCCUGUGGGUGAUACAUCCAUUGAAACUAUAAGUAGAUGUAGACAAAGUGACAAAUAUAACAACAAAUGUAGCAACAAAUGUAGCAACAAAUGUAGCAAUAAGUGUAGCAACAAAUGUAACAACAAAUGUAACAACAAAUGUAGCAACAAAUGUAACAACAAAUGUAGCAACAAAUGUAACAACAAAUGUAGCAACAAAUGUAACAACAAAUGUAGCAACAAAAAUGGGAAAAAACACCAGUUCGAAAUAAAAAGUAUAAAUUAUUUUAUUUAUAGAAAUAUAUAUAUUCCUAUUAGCUACCAUUAUAACAAUCUUAACAAGAUUUUAGUUUAUUCAUUUUUAAUAAAAAAAAAUUUACUAAUUUAUUUAAGUUUAUUAAAAUGUUUGUUAUUUGAUGAACACGAAGAAAACAAUACAUUUUUUACGUCUGUUAUAUACGACAAACAGAGUUAUAACAUUUUAAAGACACCUGGAAAUGCUCAUAGUACUGAUAUAUGUACCAUAAAUAACGAUAUGUUAUGUUACAAAGAUGGUAACAUAAAAGACAAAGCAAAAGAUGAUGAUGAUGAUGAUGAUGAUAAUAAUGAUAAAAAAACAAAGUUAAGGCAAAAACAAAAAGAAAAACAGAAAAGAACAAAAGGUAAAGAUAUUGUUUAUUUUAGUUUCAAUAAAGAAUUUUAUAAUGUGAAAAAUAUAACAAAAAAAUUUUUUUAUAUAAAUGUUAAUAUAAAAAUUCCUAAUAUAUUGUCUUUAUUUUUUGAUACGGAAGUUAUUAAUUGCUAUAACAAUGUGUUUCGGUUAACUUCAUUAUUUUAUUUCAUUUCCCAAAAUUUGAAUGAAAUUUUUUUGAUUUUUAGUUAUUUUUCAAAAACUGUUAUAUAUCAAUAUGUAGAUAAACCAAAUGAAGACGAAAAAAAUGAAAUAGACCAAUAUGAUCAUAAAAAAAAAAAAAAAAAAAAAAAUCUGUGUUCUUAUUAUUCACAAAAGGGUGAACCUAAUGUUUUGAAAAAUAAUAAAAAUAGUUUAAAAGAUAAUAUAUAUAAUUUGAUAAAAGGUAAUUAUAAAAAUGAUAAAGAAGAAGAUUUUAAAAACUAUUAUUGUAUUAUUACAAAAAAAUCAAUGAAUGCAUAUAUAUUAACUAAGGAAAAGUUUUAUAAUGUUGGUUUUGAUCCAAUUUUUCUUAACUACAAUGUAAUAGAAAUGGAACAAUUUUUAGAAAAAAUAAAAAUCUUUAAUGAAUUAUUAAACGAUUUUAAUAAAAUAAGAAGUGAAAUACAUUUAAUAAUAAAUUAUAUUUACGAUUAUAUUAUAAAUAUAAACAUUUAUAAAAAUUAUUUUUUUUUUUUGCAAAAUAUUUGGAAAGUAAACAAAUUAACUUAUUUAAUUAAUUUUCAUAAAUCAUUUGUCCAACACCUGUUUAAAUUCUCUUUUUUAUCUUCUAACUUUAUUACUUUUUCUAAAAUAAUAUUUAAUAUAAUAAAUACAAUAAAUAUAUUUAAAAACUGUAUAAAUCGAUUAGUAUUAUUUGAAGGAAGUGACACACAACAAUCAUUUUUGUCCACAUUUUCCCAACAUUACAAUAUAAUAAAAACAAAUAUACUUAUAUUAACUUCUUUGGAUGCACAAAAAUGUAUUAAAAAAUUUUUUACUAACAGAAAUCAAUUACUUUUACAUAUUAAAAAAUUUAAAAAUAACAAUUUGGAUUAUCUAUACAACAAAUUUUUUUUUAAUGGAUAUUACCACUCUUUGUUUGACACUGAUGAUGAUGAUGAUGAAUAUUAGUGUACGUACACUUGUGUUCUUUUUAUUGACAUUAAGUACAAGGAGAUUUACUGUUUACUACUAUUGUGAUGAAACAUUAUAGUAACUGUCGUUUUAUACUAGUUGCUAUUGUUAUUUUAUUGUUAUUUAUUGUCAUUUAUUGUCAUUUAUUGUCAUUUAUUGUCAUUUAUUGUCAUUUAUUGUUAUUUAUUUUUUUUUAUUUAUUUUUUUUUUUUUAAGAUAGUAAAUAAACGUAUAAUUUGAAUAUACA
This is a long non-coding RNA of Piliocolobus tephrosceles (Ugandan red Colobus), 3864 nucleotides long. The record is from Ensembl. NCBI's taxonomy places the organism in Eukaryota, Metazoa, Chordata, Mammalia, Primates, Cercopithecidae.